AUACAGAGGGUGCAAGCGUUAAUCGGAAUUACUGGGCGUAAAGCGCGCGUAGGCGGUUUGUUAAGUCGGAUGUGUAAUCCCCGGGCUCAACCUGGGAACUGCAUUCGAAACUGGCGAGCUAGAGUAUGGUAGAGGAUAGUGGAAUUCCGGGUGUAGCGGUGAAAUGCGUAGAUAUCCGGAGGAACAUCAGUGGCGAAGGCGGCUAUCUGGACCAAUACUGACGCUGAGGUGCGAAAGCGUGGGGAGCAAACAGGAUUAGAAACCCUAGUAGUCC
This 274-nucleotide ribosomal RNA is filed under the name uncultured bacterium. Its description in RNAcentral is "partial 16S ribosomal RNA". It matches the Rfam family "Bacterial small subunit ribosomal RNA", at positions 523 to 796 of the family's 1533-position model. The record is from RNAcentral.